RNAcentral lists this ribosomal RNA (253 nucleotides) under uncultured bacterium. Its description in RNAcentral is "partial 16S ribosomal RNA". It matches the Rfam family "Bacterial small subunit ribosomal RNA", at positions 524 to 776 of the family's 1533-position model. The record is from RNAcentral.
UACAGAGGUCCCGAGCGUUGUUCGGAUUCACUGGGCGUAAAGGGUGCGUAGGUGGCUUGAAAAGUUUGAUGUGAAAGCUCAGGGCUUAACCCUGAAAUGGCAUUGAAUACUGUCGAGCUGGAGGUUUGGAGGGGGGACUGGAAUUCUUGGUGUAGCAGUGAAAUGCGUAGAUAUCAAGAGGAACACCAGUGGCGAAGGCGAGUCCCUGGACAACACCUGACACUGAGGCACGAAAGCUAGGGGAGCAAACAGG